RNAcentral lists this long non-coding RNA (386 nucleotides) under Mustela putorius furo (domestic ferret). Its description in RNAcentral is "lncRNA (ENSMPUG00000029818.1)". The record is from RNAcentral. Lineage: Eukaryota; Metazoa; Chordata; Mammalia; Carnivora; Mustelidae.
NNUGGGUUCUGCCUCCUGUAUUCAGAUUUCUCUCUUCCACUCCUCCUAUGCUUGGGUCUGUUUCUUCCUGGAAGAAGAAACCCCUGUGGGGUGGGGGAGUGUCUCAUUACCCUGCUCCUCUUUCUCGGGUUUUUUUUCCCAGAGUGUCUCAAAUCAGCAUCAUCAGCCUUGGAGCUUCCGUUGUGGCAAUGGUUGUAUGGUUUCAAGUCUCCUGGUGUUGACGCAGAGGAUGACAGAUUGAGCGGCCCCUGGGAAGAUGCUUCUCUGUGCAGAGAGGUUCCACAAAUGUCUGUUUCAUGGGCACACGAUUGUCAUUUGGCUCCAGACAAGGAAUGAAUGUGCUGUUCAUGGCAGCAGAGGCACUCUGGUCUUCUUGGCCUUUCCAA